RNAcentral lists this unclassified non-coding RNA (1023 nucleotides) under Hevea brasiliensis (rubber tree). The record is from RNAcentral. Lineage: Eukaryota; Viridiplantae; Streptophyta; Magnoliopsida; Malpighiales; Euphorbiaceae.
UUAUAUUACCGACAACGUCCAGGAUCUCAGAGAAUAUGUUAUUGCAAUUGACAUAUGCAGUGUCACAAGCAGAUUCACCAUCUGUGCCACAAGCUUUGAUUGCCUGCUCACAUUCUGGAACCAACUUGUUAAUUCUGUCAUAAUCAUAUUUUUGAAUUAACUUCUUGUCCAGUGCAUAAUCUGUGUAUGCUUUGUACUGAAUACCAGGAUCAGUAAGACCAUUGCCAAUGGCAAAUCCCUUGAGGUUUAUCUGAAUCCCUUCUUUGUUUUUGUUUCCUUGGUGGACCCGGGCAGCAAAAGCAGGGAUGUAGUGCCCAGCAUAAGAUUCUCCAGUUAUGUAAAAAUCAUUUUUGACAAACUGGGGAUGCUCUUUGAAGAAAGCCUGCAAGAAAUCAUACAAGUCAUUGCUAACACCAUUUUCGUCGUGGCGAAUGUCAUUAGCAUCUGUUGUGUAACUGAAUCCAGUUCCAAUAGGCUGAUCAACGUAUAUCAGGUUCGAUGCCUUAUCCCUCCAUAUAAGAGACUUGUUCUUUGAAAGAUGGAAAGGACCAUUUUCAUAAAACAAUGCCAAUUCACUGCUGCAUCCAGGCCCUCCUGUCAACCAUAUGACGACAGGAUCAUCCUUGCUGUUCCGUGAUUCGAAAAAAAAGUAGAACAACCUUGCAUCUUUUGCAUGGGGAAGCUUAUAGUAUCCAGCGUGGUGACCCAAAUCCUGAACAGAAAUCUCCGGAUCACCAAGAAGAUGCAACUUUAAUGGUUUCUCAACAAUCUGAGGAGCAGUUACUAAAGAAUCAACAUGGGUUGGCAUGUUGAUGGAGUGCUUAGGGAAUAAGUUAAAGGCUCUUAUCAUCUUUUCUGCUUGCAGUUUUGGCAAGUUGGAAGCUGAAGACAAGUGAAGUUGGUCAUGAUGAUGAGAGGCUGCAUAUGAGAAAGGUGAAGAAAUGGAAAGAAAAAGAAACAAAGAAAGGAAUUUGUAAGAGAAAGUUGAUGCCAUAAUAAUAUUGCUUCUGAGCUUUGGAUUUG